GUGGAGUAAUACAACAAGGAGGAGAAGAGCUCCAAGGGGAGGAAACAUAAGUGAGAGAUUAAGUGACAUGUUUUGGAAACAUUGAAUGGUUGGGCCUGGGUGAUUAUAGAGCACCAUUACAGGCCAGGAUGCCAGGCCAGCAGAGAGCUGACCCUGAAGGGCUCUGGAAGCCUUGAUGCGAAAGAAGUUGCAUGCUGAUCUGAAGGUUAUAAGAAGCCAGUGAAGAAUUUCAUCUGGAGGAGUAAGAUGAUCUUAUUUAUUUUAAAAGAUCACACUGCCCUUGAAGUGGACGGUGGACCAACUAUAGCGAGAUUUGGAGAUUAAGAAGCAAAGGAGAUAAACAUGAAUCUCUUCCAGAAGACCCAGGAAAAAUACCAUUGCGACCUGAUGGCUCUGAUUGGGUCACAUAUUCAAGCAUGUAAAGGGUAAAUACAAAGAACGGUUUCAAGAGGAUGUGAUCUUUCUCCAGGACAAUGCUUCCCAAACUUGUGUUCCUCCAAACCAGUCCCGCAAAGUGUUUUGAAAGACAAAUGGAAAAGUUUCCUCUGGCUGAAAAAAGUUUAGGAAAAAUUGGAUUAAAUAAAAUUUCUCAGUGUUUUUUACUUCUGGAUUGCUCAACAACUUAUAUAUGCAAAUGUAUCUUAGGCAUUUCCAAAAGUGGGCUGUAUUACGAUGCUGCAUUUCUCAAAGAGAAUUGGCCUUGAGAACCCUCUUUUACGGAGCCUAUGUCACCAUCUCGUGGAACUGGGGCUCUGCAGGACACACGUAGGGGAUGCUGCUGGGGGGCAUCAUCCAACAAACUUCUGAUUUGGGUUCUUUCUGUUGCCUCAUUUUUCUUUUUUUGCAUUUCCCACUUACUUUUUCAUGGCAAACUAUUAGUAGAAGAACCCUGCCA
This 895-nucleotide long non-coding RNA is filed under the name Equus caballus (horse). RNAcentral's name for it is "lncRNA (ENSECAG00000048006.1)". The record is from RNAcentral. Lineage: Eukaryota; Metazoa; Chordata; Mammalia; Perissodactyla; Equidae.